UCUCUGUUUACCUCGGGUCCCGUGCUGGCUCAUCCGGAUCAGUCUUUGGCGUUCAUAGUGGAGUUGGACGACUCCAGGGCUGGGAUAGGAGCCGUGCUCUCUCUGUGCAGGGGAAAUAAUAAGACAUGCGGAACUAAGUAGCUAAUACUGUUGUAACUGGGAUCCUUAUUGUAGCAACACACUUUUGGAGGGAAGGCAAUCCUGCGCUGUGUUAGCUAAGUUUUCAUGUCAUCGGGUGUAGUUCAUAAAGGUUGCAGCGUGUAUGUUGGGAUGAAGUGUGAAUUCAUGCCAGGAAUAAUAAGUGUGAAGUUUGUCUGCUUAUUACAGAAGGGAGGAAAUCAAUGAGUUCUCAUGGAAGGUGAUAAUUCUGACUAAAACUACAGAAUAAAGCUGCCAGUUAAAAUCAA
Long non-coding RNA from Oncorhynchus nerka (sockeye salmon), 407 nucleotides. RefSeq lists it as uncharacterized. NCBI's taxonomy places the organism in Eukaryota, Metazoa, Chordata, Actinopteri, Salmoniformes, Salmonidae. The transcript is spliced from 2 exons. The record is from RefSeq and is a predicted model, not a curated record.